Small nucleolar RNA from Suricata suricatta (meerkat), 148 nucleotides. Lineage: Eukaryota; Metazoa; Chordata; Mammalia; Carnivora; Herpestidae. The record is from Ensembl.
UGCCACCCUCUGUAUCAUAAGACUUUUACAUCCAGUAUUUUGUUCAAAAUAAGUGGAUUUGCUUGUUAAUGUGGCUACAUUGAGACACAGGUAAUGCUUGCAUCACAGCAAGUUUAUUGCAGUGGUGACAAUGAGACCUGUAACAUUU